GAUGAACGCUAGCUACAGGCUUAACACAUGCAAGUCGCGGGGCAGCAUGGGGGUUGCUUGCAAUCCCCGAUGGCGACCGGCGCACGGGUGAGUAACGCGUAUCCAACCUGCCCUUCACCACGGGAUAACCCGGCGAAAGUCGGACUAAUACCGUAUGUUGUCCAUUGACGGCAUCCGAUUUGGACGAAAGGCUUGGCGGUGAGGGAUGGGGAUGCGUCCGAUUAGCCAGACGGCGGGGUAACGGCCCACCGUGGCUACGAUCGGUAGGGGUUCUGAGAGGAAGGUCCCCCACACUGGAACUGAGACACGGUCCAGACUCCUACGGGAGGCAGCAGUGAGGAAUAUUGGUCAAUGGGCGUAAGCCUGAACCAGCCAAGUAGCGUGCAGGAUGACGGCCCUAUGGGUUGUAAACUGCUUUUAUGCGGGGAUAAAGUGGCCCACGUGUGGGUUUUUGCAGGUACCGCAUGAAUAAGGACCGGCUAAUUCCGUG
This 490-nucleotide ribosomal RNA is filed under the name uncultured bacterium. Its description in RNAcentral is "partial 16S ribosomal RNA". It matches the Rfam family "Bacterial small subunit ribosomal RNA", at positions 28 to 507 of the family's 1533-position model. The record is from RNAcentral.